UCAGAGGUCACUGGUUCAGCACUGAGGUCAGAGGUCACUGGUUCAGCACUGAGGUCAGAGGUCACUGGUUCAGCACUGAGGUCAGAGGUCACUGGUUCAGCACUGGGGUCAGAGGUCACUGGUUCAGCACUGGGGUCAGAGGUCACUGGUU
Molecule: long non-coding RNA, 151 nt
Organism: Carassius gibelio (silver crucian carp)
Lineage: Eukaryota; Metazoa; Chordata; Actinopteri; Cypriniformes; Cyprinidae
Exons: 3
Source: RefSeq, a predicted model, not a curated record